This 2780-nucleotide ribosomal RNA is filed under the name Triticum aestivum (bread wheat). RNAcentral's name for it is "partial small subunit ribosomal RNA". Lineage: Eukaryota; Viridiplantae; Streptophyta; Magnoliopsida; Poales; Poaceae. The record is from RNAcentral.
ACGUGUCUCUGGGGAGCACGUCCUAUUCCCCAAGCGAGCGGACGCCCCCAAGAGAGCGCCUCCCUCCCGACUCCCGAGCGAACCACCAGAGAGGGCCUCCUCCCCGAGCGCGACAGCUAGGGUUACUAGCCGCCGCCGACCGACCCACCGCCACCACCGCCGGCCCUCCGCCGCGGCGCGCGUAGCCGUCCCAAGCCCCCGCUGCCCCGCCGCCGGUACAGGACCCCAGGCAGCGCCUCCCUCCCUCCGCCGAGCAGCCGCUCCCGCCAGCAGCGCCUCCCUCAAUCCCUCCCUCCCUGGAGCAGCCGCCGCCCCGGAGCUACGCCGGCGACCAGUCCAUCGGCAGGUGUCAGUUCCUAAUGGUUAUCUAGAGACAGAUACAUUGAAGGGUCCUCAAUGGAUUUGAACGCAUCCCCGUUGCCCGAGGACGAUGACCAUGAAGAGCCAGUUGAGCUUGAUUUUGGACAGGACGAUGAAGAUCACGUCGAGUCUGCUGUUGAGAUUAUGAGGAGGGAACGAGAAGAACGACGCAGAAAGUUAAAGAGAGAUCAACCAGAUGAUGGACCAAGGCCAAGACCACAACAGGUUAGGAAUGAUCAUGCAACCCAAAACAAGAUUGGCGGAUACAAACGAGUUAAAGAGACACCUCAGGGUUGGAUGGAUUGCCCUGCAUCUGGUCAACCAAUAGACAAAAUCAUACCCUCUAAAGUUCCGCUGGAUGAAACAUUCAAUGAGUCGGUUCCUCCUGGAAAAAGAUAUUCUUCCAAACAAGUUGUUAAUAAACAAAGAAAGGCUGGCAGGGACAUAGGUUUGGUGAUUGACUUGACAAAUACCUCUCGGUACUAUUCGCCAGCAGAGUGGACGAAGCAAGGUACUAAACAUGUCAAGAUUGCUUGCAGGGGGAGAGAUGCUGUACCAGAAAAUGAAGCUGUUAACACGUUUGUGUAUGAGGUGUUGGCGUUUCAUGAGCGCCAGAAGCCAUCAAGGAAUCCCAAAUACGUACUUGUUCACUGUACUCAUGGGCAUAACCGUACUGGCUUUAUGAUUGUUCAUUACCUAAUGCGCACACAACUGUCUAGUGUUACUGAGGCUUUAAAUAUAUUUGCUCAAAGACGGCCUCCAGGAAUAUAUAAAACCGACUACAUUCAAGCACUGUAUACAUUUUAUCAUGAAAUUCCUGAAAGUAUCACAUGUCCACCGACACCGGAAUGGAAGAGGCCUUCUGAUCUUGAUUUGAAUGGUGAAGCUAAGCAGGAUGACGAUGACGACAAUGGCGAGUCUGCACCAUCACCAGAUCCUGUAGAUGACAAGGCCAUUACUAAUGAUGAUGUCCUAGGGGAUGCUGUACCUUUCGACCAGCAAGAUAUCUUGCGUGGCAUAUGUUUCAAAUUGCUUGAUUUUGUACCCAAUGGUAGAGCUAAUGCUCAAUUUCCAGGAUCUCAUCCAGUUUCCCUCAACAGUGAGAACCUGCAACUUCUGAGACAAAGAUAUUAUUAUGCUACGUGGAAAGCUGAUGGAACACGAUACAUGAUGCUUAUAAUGCGGGAUGGCUGUUUCUUAAUAGACCGAAACUUCUGCUUUAGAAGAGUUCAGAUGCGUUUUCCUAUUAGGAAUGUUAACGAUGGUUUCCACAACUUUACAUUGAUCGAUGGAGAAAUGGUUGUAGACGCCAUACCAGGUGGUGGAUUGAAGCGGAGGUACUUAGCGUAUGAUCUAAUGGCAAUUAAUUUCUCCUCCAAAGUCAAGUUGCCCUUUUCUGACAGGUGGAAGCUACUUGAGGAUGAAAUAAUUCGUCCACGCAUCUAUGAGAGAAAGCAGUUUGAAACUGGUCUGAAAGGCAAUCCAUCAUACAGAUAUGACCUGGAACUUUUUUCGGUAAGGAGAAAGGAUUUUUGGCUGCUUUCCACGGUGAAGAAAUUACUCAAGGAGUUUAUUCCAGCACUUUCACAUGAAUCUGAUGGGCUUAUAUUUCAGGGCUGGGAUGAUCCAUACGUGAAUCGUACACACGAAGGUCUUUUAAAAUGGAAGUACCCAGAGAUGAAUUCAGUUGACUUUUUGUUUGAGACUGGUAGUGAAAACCGUCAGCUUAUUUUUCUGUACGAGAGAGGCAAAAAGAAACUUAUGGAUGGUACCCGGGUGGUAUUUGCUGAUGAUGUAGAUCCAUCUUCAAUAUCAGGGAAAAUUGUUGAGUGCUCUUGGAAUAAACAGGAGGACUGCUGGUUCUGCAUGCGAAUCCGAGCAGAUAAGUCAACUCCUAAUGAUAUCAAUACUUACAGAAAGGUGAUGAGGAGCAUCACAGAUAACAUUACUGAAGACAAGCUCCUGGGCGAGAUGAGUGAGAUCAGUAGCCUUCCGAUGUACGCCGACAGGAAGGCCCAUGCUGACAGGAAAGCCCACGCCGAGAAGAUGGCUCACCAGCACAGAAGGAGGGGAUAAGGCGAAUAAUCUUGGUCUUCUGAACUAGAAUCAACAAUGCCGGCUGGCCUCUGUAGCCUGUGUAUUUAGCAAUAAUCAAUUUUUGACUUCAAUUAAACAACAGCGGUCACUACACAAGUUUUUCAAUGCUUUGUCAUAUUGGCCAUUGUACAUGUAUCGUUCCAGAGUCCUGUAUAUCUCUUAUUGUGUGUCAUCAAUGCUUGAUAUCAUUGUCGUUUGGUCUAUACUUCUGAAUAGCUUUGUCGGCACUUUUUUCAAUGUGGUGUGUUUUCUUUGCCCUAUCCUUGUAUGAACGUCAUGUUCUUUCUUUAAUCAAGUUAAAACACACACCAUAGUUGCAUUGC